AAACGUCUAAUAGUCCCUCGAACUUGAAACACCCUGUAUAUGAGAAAGAACCUUCGAAAUACUUGGAAACACUCUGUGAGAAAACAUUUGGUAAAAAAAUUCAAGUUGUAUGGUGUUCAAAUGGGAUUUUUUGGUGCAUUCAAUAUUUUACUAAGGCUCUCCAAAAGUAGAACAAAUUUACCUCUGAUUCUUCAAAUAGUACAUUAUUAUAGUACAUUAUUAUAUUCCUAAAGAUUCAUGAUUCGAUAAAAUAAUUCAGCUUAUCUAUAAUUAUAGUGAAUCAUCCGCUGUAACAAUUCAAGAAUUAGGAAUAAUUAGGCACUAUUCAGGAGGAAAGUAGUAUGGAAUCAUUAUAUGAUCAUCUCUUAGCUGCAAAAAAUAUUUCUUGAUGACCUCAAAGUAAUAAGUGAAAGUUAUAUGUGAUAUGGGCUCACAAAUUAGGUUUCAGCAGAAGCUAGGAGUUUGGCAACAACCUAUGGGUCAUCCAAUAUAUUACCAUUCCGCAUGAAUUUCAAUGUGUAAGAAUUGUUGAACUUAUAGCACUCAUCCCGAGUAUCUUCUGAAGGUUCAUUCUAUUCCUCCUGUAGUUACACACUGUAUUCAAGAGCGAUAACACCUGAUGAAAGCAGUUUAAUUGAUUGAUCCAAUAUCCUCAAUGAAACUCCAAAAGGAAUAAUGCUCUAUGGAUAUUAUACUAAAUUCGGAAAAUUUCAAGAUGAUCGAAUAACAUUAUUAAUUUCAAUGAUUGCGAAAUAUUGUAAAAAAAAAUAUUGGAACGAUUUUCUACUGAAAAAUUGGUGAGAUUCUAUUCAUUACAAAAUUAAAUAAACAAUUAAAAUUUUCUAAUUCCAGUAAUUUUAUUGAAUGACUAAACAGGUAAGACUCAACAAUAAGUGCUCAAAUAUGAAAAAAUCAAUUAAUUGUACAAUUUCCAAGCAUAUCAUGAACGACACAAAGAAGAACCUUCAAAAUGCUCGAAAACACUCUCUGAGAAAACAUUUGGUAAGAAAAUUUAAGUUGUGCGGUGUUCAUAAGCUUACGGAAUUGGUUCGACUCAUUCAAUUAUACAUUAUUUUCAGGCUGACAUGAAUUUCCAAAUGGUUUUUGGUAAAUCAAACUCUCUUUUCACAGAUUGGGAGAGGUGCUAUCAAAACAUCAUCACAUUCCUCAAGAAAAACGAGAAAGAAUAACUGUCAGAGAACUUCUGGGCACUGUUAGUGAAGGAAAUUCCAGUGAAAAUGGACGAGAUGCUUCAAUUGUUUGGAGCUUACUUGCUUAUUUGGUUCCUACGAUGGUUGCCAUUACUGGACAAAGAACACAACCAAAUAUAAAAUUAAAGAUUCUCAGGGAUCAUUCCUAUUCGUUGGAAGGUAGACUCAGGAAGUGGAAGAUCAUAUAGAAUAUUGGAAAACAAGAUUAACAACCCCAUAAAGCCAUUUAUAAAAGGCAUUGCAUCGGAGAUGAUAUAAAAUUUAUAACUGAAUUGUUUGUAUAUUUUGAUGACAGAAGAUUCGAAUUCCAUAGUUUUUUCAGAGUGGUUGAUAUUUGGGUCAAAAUUAUAUGUUUUACCUAGAUUUUUCUAUAAAAUCCUUUAUGGUUUGGUCUUAUUUUCAUAAUCUCAUAAAAUCCCAUUAUGAAGUGUUGAGUCUAAAAUUGAAGGAAAAAGUCUAAAAAACACUUCUGUUGUUGGAACCUUGUAUAUUAAAUCAUCCGGUUACAUGUUUCGGCAUAUUCGCCAUUAUCAAACCAAAGAUUCUGAAAAAGAUUAUACUCUUAGGUACAAUAUAUGAAGUUGAACGAAAAACUUAAAGAAAAGGUGAAGAAAGGUGGAUAACAUAAUUCUACAGUUUGGUUAAUUGCUCACUGAAACUUACGAUAUUAAGGUUCCAUAGUCAUAUGGUAAAACAUUGAUAAAAUAAGUAUAAGUCACAAAGUGAAUUACAAAUAUAAAUAAAUGAAUAAAUAUUAAAAAUACACUGGUUGAAAAGGCAUACUGUGAAAAGUCAAAAAAUAUAAAAUGACAAACAAAACAUAAACAAAACUGAAUGUUGAAGGAUUCCUCUUCUUCCAAUCAAGGUUGACCCGGGUGUUAAAUUUCCUUACGAUGUGUUUUUUAGACUUUGUCCUUCAAUUUUAUUUUCAUAAGCUCCAAACCUCUUUAGCAUUUCCUAGUGUGUAUAUUUGA
Harmonia axyridis is the source of this 2185-nucleotide long non-coding RNA. RefSeq lists it as uncharacterized. NCBI's taxonomy places the organism in Eukaryota, Metazoa, Arthropoda, Insecta, Coleoptera, Coccinellidae. The transcript has 3 exons. The record is from RefSeq and is a predicted model, not a curated record.